RNAcentral lists this long non-coding RNA (1125 nucleotides) under Rosa chinensis. RNAcentral describes it as "sRNA RchiOBHm_Chr1g0322771". Lineage: Eukaryota; Viridiplantae; Streptophyta; Magnoliopsida; Rosales; Rosaceae. The record is from RNAcentral.
GUGGGGUUUUCUCAUAAUAUGGUUGCCAAAGCCAUCCAAGAACAUGGACUUGAAGAUGCAGGUUCAAUUCUUGAAACCCUCCUCUUAUAUAACGCUCUUGAAAGUAGUCCUCGGGAGCAACAUUCUCUGCUAGAGCUGCAUUCUCCUUCAGAACAGUGCUCUCCUCAAGAACAACAACAAAUUGACUCGGAUCUCUUUUCUUCAGAUUUUGAUGGGAGCUUUCUAGAUGGUUUUUCAGAUCUCGAUAGCUCUGAUGACGAGGUAACUAUCGAUCCUACAUCUGAGGCGGAGACAAAACUUAUGUCCAACUUAUGUCCUUGGUUAAAAUGGGGUACAAUGAAUUGGAGGCUUCAUUGGCAAUAGAAAGAUGCGCUUGGAAACUUUUGCACUGGGCUGAACAUACAUAUAGAGAAAUGGUAGGCGGUGAUGAUGUUGACUGGGAUACUGAAGAUGAGCUUGAGAUUGAAACUUCACUUUAUCUUCUUCAGGCUCUUGAAAGUAGUUCUCCAGAGCAACGUUCUCUUCCAGAGUUAUGUUCUCCUCCAGAACAGUGCUCUCCUCAAGAACAGCAACAAAUUGAACCGGAUCUCUCUUCUUCAGACUAUGAUGGGAGCAUUCUAAAUGGUUUGUCAGAUAGCUCUGAUGAUGAGAAAAUUAAUCAACUAUUUUUGGAGGUAGCCAUCGAUCCUACAUCUGAGGCGGAGACAAAACUUUAUGUCCUUGGUUAAAAUGGGGUACAAUGAAUUGGAGGCUUCAAUGGCAAUAGAAAGAUGCGGUAUUGACUCGUCACUUGUUGAUUUUGACUGAUUUCAUAUCAGCUGCUCAAAUUUCAAAGGCAGAAGAUGCCCAUUUUCCACUUCAAGAGAUGCGUACACAUCUGCUGAGUGAGUAUCCUGAGAAGAACUAAAAGGAAACUUUAUGAAUCUCCAUUGCUGAAAAGGAAAAGGACCAUGGGAUAUGGAAACCAGAUCAUAGGGGAAGAUGCUGAUGCAAUUCAUCUCCCAAAUCCAAUGAUUAGGUUUAGGACUCCGGCUGAUCUCCGUCAAAUCCCACAGGACCUCCUUAUUUUUACUAUGAGAAUGUGGCCUUGACUCCUAAAGGAGUUUAGGAGCACAAUCAAUAACC